Molecule: ribosomal RNA, 858 nt
Filed under: Pseudomonas azotoformans
Lineage: Bacteria; Pseudomonadati; Pseudomonadota; Gammaproteobacteria; Pseudomonadales; Pseudomonadaceae
Description: bacterial SSU rRNA
Rfam family: Bacterial small subunit ribosomal RNA
Source: RNAcentral
CGUAGAUGAACGCUGGCGGCAGGCCUAACACAUGCAAGUCGAGCGGUAGAGAGAAGCUUGCUUCUCUUGAGAGCGGCGGACGGGUGAGUAAUGCCUAGGAAUCUGCCUGGUAGUGGGGGAUAACGUUCGGAAACGGACGCUAAUACCGCAUACGUCCUACGGGAGAAAGCAGGGGACCUUCGGGCCUUGCGCUAUCAGAUGAGCCUAGGUCGGAUUAGCUAGUUGGUGAGGUAAUGGCUCACCAAGGCGACGAUCCGUAACUGGUCUGAGAGGAUGAUCAGUCACACUGGAACUGAGACACGGUCCAGACUCCUACGGGAGGCAGCAGUGGGGAAUAUUGGACAAUGGGCGAAAGCCUGAUCCAGCCAUGCCGCGUGUGUGAAGAAGGUCUUCGGAUUGUAAAGCACUUUAAGUUGGGAGGAAGGGUUGUAGAUUAAUACUCUGCAAUUUUGACGUUACCGACAGAAUAAGCACCGGCUAACUCUGUGCCAGCAGCCGCGGUAAUACAGAGGGUGCAAGCGUUAAUCGGAAUUACUGGGCGUAAAGCGCGCGUAGGUGGUUUGUUAAGUUGGAUGUGAAAUCCCCGGGCUCAACCUGGGAACUGCAUUCAAAACUGACUGACUAGAGUAUGGUAGAGGGUGGUGGAAUUUCCUGUGUAGCGGUGAAAUGCGUAGAUAUAGGAAGGAACACCAGUGGCGAAGGCGACCACCUGGACUAAUACUGACACUGAGGUGCGAAAGCGUGGGGAGCAUAACAGGAUUAGAUACCCUGGUACUCCACGCCGUAAACGAUCUCAAACUAGCCGUUGAAGCCCUUGAGCUUUUAGUGGCGCAAGCUAACGCAUUGAGUUGACCUCCC